GACUCCUCCAUCUUCUUCUUCUUGCUGCUCGACGGAACCGAGCAGACCAGCGGAGCCGAAGAAGUCGCACGCCUCCGCCGUUCGCCGUCGCCGCCCGUCCGCACCCUAGCUGCUCCGCCCCUCCACCCGCUCGCCGUCGCUUAGCCGCGCCACCGUCGCCCUCUCUUCUCCAUCUCCAGUUGCUGCUCGUGUCCCAGCAGAUCUGGGAAGACGCCGGAGCAGCCAGCAGUCUAGUCGGACUGCCGUCGCGCCCCGCUUGCCGCCGUCCGCCUCUCGCGACACCCCGCCGUCCUCGCGCAGGAAGCCUGCUCGUCCCUGCUGUUCCGCGAGUCCAGCAGUCAUUCCAGAUCUGGGGAAGCUCAGCCGGAGCCGCCCAGCUCACCUCCGGCCACCGUGAAGCCCCGCCUAGGUCCGGUUCAGCUCCUCCGCCCAUUCCCGACCCCAACCAGCCCCGGAUCUGCUCAUUUUCGGCCCCAACCAGCAGCGAGCAGAGAGUUGGAAAAUGGGUAUGCAGCGGACGUUUGGCCCGUUUUGGCCGCCUUCCCGAGCCCGGAUGCUCGGCCCGCCUUGAGGAAAGUUGUUCUCCUCGGCGUCCCCGUCGUUUUGGUCCGCUCGGCUCGCUAAUCCAGUGAGUUUAGCUCACUAAACCUCGGUUAGAGGGUUAAUUAUGCUUUAGGUGUGCUUAGCUUAAGUUGAUUAAGCUUAGGUGGUUAAUUUAGUUGAUUUAAUUAUGAUUUAGAUUAAGUUGUUUGUUUAAUCUAAAGUAUGUUUAAUUAAAUGCUAAGAGAGUUUAUUUAAAGUUAAGUGGGUGUUUAUAUUAAUAUAAACAUUGAUGUGACAUAAAGGAAUUUACCUUUGGUUUAUUUAAAUAUCUCGAAAUUAUUUAAUAAUUUAAUAAUUUAUUAUUAUUCGAAAUUAUUAAAAUAUUAUUAUUUAAUUAUUUUCGGAAUAAAUUUAAUUAUUUAUUAAAUUCCGAAAAUUUUGGUCGGGACCCUAAAUUCUCAGAAUUUCGUGUCGGUCGCUACGUUACAUUCGGAUUUUGAAAUUGAUGAUUGGAUAUUAUAAAUUGAGUGUGGAUUUCGAAAACUAUGGAUAUUAUUAUUUAAUUAUUUUCGGAAUAAAUUUAAUUAUUUAUUAAAUUCCGAAAAUCUUCAUUGGGACCUUAUUUGCUCAGAAUUUCGUGCCGAUCGUUGCUGUGCAUUUAGAAUUUGAAAUUGAUGAUUGGUUGUGAUGAAUUGAGUGUGAUUGUGAUUUAUAGGGAUUCUUUACGAAAUCCUAAGCGUAGAAAUUGAUGGGAGAUUGGCUGUGAAAUACCACCUAUUAGAGGUCGUGCCCAGAGAGGCCGUGAUAAACCACCUUGGAAAGGUCGUGCCCGAUGAGGCCGUGAAAAACCACCUACAAGAGGUCGUGCCCGAUGAGGCCGUGAAAUACCACCUAUUAGAGGUCGUGCCCAGAGAGGCCGUGAUAAACCACCUAUGAAAGGUCGUGCCCAGAGAGGCCGUGAUAAACCACCUAUGAAAGGUCGUGCCCAGAGAGGCCGUGAUAAACCACCUAUGAGAGGUCGUGCCCAGAGAGGCCGUGAUAAACCACCUUGGAAAGGUCGUGCCCGAUGAGGCCGUGAAAAACCACCUACAAGAGGUCGUGCCCGAUGAGGCCGUGAAUUACCACCUGAUUACAGGUCGUGCCGAGUGGGGCCGUGAUGCCACUGAUUUAAAUUUGCCGAGUAGGGCCGUAGUUGAGAGCAAUGAUUGAUUUGCUAGAAUGACAUGUAAUCGGCCGAGUCGAUUGAUCGCUGAGACGAUCCAAGUGGUUGAAUGGUUUGUUAAUGUGAUUGUGCCAUGGUUGUUUGGUUAUCAUAAUUGUACGUGAUUGGAUUAUAUAAAUUGUGCUAACCUGCAGAUGAAGGCUGAGGCGAGGUAAGUCUUCUGUGUGAUGUGGCUAGGCCACCCGGGGCGUAUUUUCUUUCUAAUAGGGGUUUAGGGGGUUGAACUUGCUGAGACAUCGUCUCAUCCCGGUUGUGGGAUUAAAAUUUCAGGUCCCUGGUGGACGGAGCGGCCAGAUAGCUUUGAUUGGCCUUGAGGAGUUACAGAGGUGAAGUCAUAAGGGUUGGAGAGCGUGUCCUGCUAGUUGGUUGUAGGAUAGUCCCCCUUUUGUCGAGCUGGUCUAUUUUGUAGAAAGUACAGUGUUGUAUUUAAACCCUUUGUGUUUGUAAAUGAGUGUUUGGUAUUGUGAUUGAUUGCCUGCUUUUCUAUCCCAAGUUAAAUGUUGUCAGGGGAUUUGUUUCGCUUCCGCAUGCGUAAAGAAAUGAAUGGGUCGGCGACAUAUCCUGGGAUGUCGCAUUUUUGAUCGACCGUAGUGGGAUGUGCACGCGCUCGAGGUUCGGGGCGUGACAUCCCCGUUUAAGUGGUAUCAGAGCAUGGUCUGUGUAUGGAGUGAUAAGGUGCGAGGAGUCAUGGGAUAGUUAGUAGGAAAGGCUUUUAAUAUGCUGAUGCAUGUGGUUGAUAGCUGCUUGGUAGCUUGUUUGUGGGGUCACUCAAAUUCUAACCUGAUGUUGGAAUUGAAAACAGGCAUCGAUAAAGAGCUUGUAGGAUGAGUGACCAGGAGUGGAGUACUCCUUGGAAGAGGUCAAUAGGACCUGUACCUCGGGGUAGGAUGCUGACAAGAGUUGGUACCCGAGGUAGAGCGCAGGCUUAGACCAGCGCGAGUGUGAGAGUACCGCCGGAAGUUGGUACUGAGAGUGUUAUAGCACCGAAUGAUCCUAGGUUUAAUGAGAUCGUUAAGGCGCUAGUGUUCCUUGGAAGCUCGUUGGGUCAGUAAGUUCAGGACCGAGCCGCCGCUGUUGCCGCUAUUUCUACCGCUGCCAGUGUUGUGACCGUUGUUAUUGUCAUGCCUGUUGAGGCCUAAUAUGGAGUUGUGAUCGAGGAUCAAGCCGCCGUAUCUUAGUAAAGGUUCAGUUUAGACAGAGAUUGAAAUCGAUUGGGGAGAAAGGCUGAUGUCAGAUGAAAGGUGUCCUGUUUCACCCAACCGGAAGAGUAGAGUUGGAAAGUUAGUGCUCAACUCGAUCGAUGCGUGUCGUGUUUGUAAGAAAAGACAUGGAUUUGUUCCGUGCUGUAAGAGGGAAAUGACUUGUUACAGGUGUUGCUAGUAAAGCCAUUUGAUCAAAGAUGGCUUGUAUAGAUGGACGGAACUAUAGCUGUUUCUGCACCGCCGUUGAUAAGACAGAACAUAGGAAAUAUGCUUCGGGACAUUUGAUGGGGUACUUGGAACAGACCCCAGUGCAAAGAAGGGUGCAUGAUAUUCCUUGAUAGAAGGUAGAUGACUCCCUGAUUGUGUGCCGAGUCAGUGGAAAGGAGGCAUGAGUUAGCCCGGUGUCAGAGUAAAAAGGGGAGCAUGCUUUGAGUGUGGCCAGCACGGCCAUCGAGUUAGGAACUGUCUGCGUAAGUUCAGGAGAGCGUAAGUACCGUACUGCAGAUAGGACGCCACUAGGAUGGCUAGAAGAGCAUGAAUGGGUUGACCAUGCAUUAGUCAAAGGGAAAAUGUUCUUGAGGGAAUUUUAUCAUAGUAGUGCAGCAUAAUUUUCAGUGAAGGUUGUGGAGUUUCCGUUGUUGUAAUAAAGUAAUAGGAAGAUGAGUCUCUGACUAUAGUUGUACCUGAUGGGUUUGCCUAUGUAUGACUUGGAAGUCAUUUAUGAAAAGGUUUGGCUCAAGGAGCUUUUUGCUGUUUUGAAUCGCGGUAGUGAUAUAAUUCAGUUUGUUCAGCUAGCGAGCGAAAGUUUUGAAUCACUGAAAGUUGAAGAGGAACUUCAAUCCUUGUUAUUCGUCACUGAAGAUGAUUUGGUUCAGGUUGUUGGUUAUCGAAUCUACAUGGCAACUGUAAUAGAUGCGUCAGUUGAGAAGCCAGAUAUGAGAAACUUAGCCAUGGUACAGAAGUUUUCUGAGGUGUGUCAGGAAGAAUUGCUAAGUCUGCUGUCAGAAAGAGACAUAGAGUUUGCGAUUGAAUUAGCACCCGGAACAGAGCCAGUCCCUAAGGCUCCUUACCGGAUGGUGUUACCCGAGUUAAAAAAAAAAAAACUGAAGGUGUCGAUGCAGGAAGUGUUGGAUAAGGGAUUCAUACUUUCCAGUGCAUCACCUUGGGGAGCAUCAGUUCUGUUCAUAAAGGAGAAAUGUGGUUCGUUGUGGUUGUACAUCGAUAUUCUUCAAGAUCGACUUGAGGUCAGGGUAUCAUCAGUUGAGGAUCAGGAAGAAAGACAUACCAAAGUUAAGACCUCGCACUCGAUACAGUAGUUAUGAGUUCACUGUAAUGUUGUGUGGUUUAAUAGACACCUUAGCUAUUUGUUGGGUCUAAUGAGCAGAAUGUUUGAGGGUAUUUAAAUCAUUUGUGAUCGUGUUCAUUGAAGUUAUCCUAGUGUGUUCAAAGAGUGCUGAGGAGCACGAGAGGCAUUUGGGGAUGGUACUUCAGACCUUGAGUGCUUUUGGAUUUUACAAUAAGUUUAGCAAAUGCGAGUUUUGGAUGACUCGUGUUGUGUUCCCAGGUCAUGUGAUUUCAGGAGAAGGAAUCUCCGUAGACCUCGUAUGAAAUUAAAGCAGUGAUCAGUUGGUCGAGAUUGACUACAGUGAUAGAGAUAAGAAGUUUUUGAGGAUUAACAUGAUAUUUCAGACCGUUCGUAGAAGGGUUUUCAGCGUUAGCGUUACCGUUGACAAGACUACUGAGAAAGGAAGAGAAGUUCGUAUGGACAUGUAGGUGCGAUCGUAGUUUCAAGAGCUUAAGUAGAAGCAGACUACCGCACCUGUGCUGACCAUUCCAUCUGGUCCUGAAAGUUAUGAGGUCUGCAAUGAUGUGUCGUUUAAAGGAUUUGGUUGCUUGUUGAUGCAGCAUGAUAGAGUUGUUGCAUAUGCGUCCUGUCAGUUGAGGCCUUAGGAGUUGAAUAUGAGAUGACGUCACUGGAUGGAACUCAUUAAGGAUUAUGACCAUGAUAUUUUGUAUCACUCUGGAAAGGUGAGCAAAGUUACAGACGUACUGAAUCGAGAGUCCUUAGUUGCACAGUCGGUACUCAAGGAUUUAGAUAUUAUUUGAGAAAGUUCGAAAUUCAAUUUUCGAAUCUAAGGUAGGCCACCUUUUGGAAUCUUAUGACCACCCUCAGAAUUAAGCGGAGAGUAUAGAUCAUAAUCAAAUCGCUUCAGUGGACAGAUUCAGAAAUUCAGAAGAUUCUAUAAGAGAAUGCAAUUGAGAGAGAGGUUGAUUUUCAGAUUUCUGAUGACAGAACGCUAAGGUUCUGAGGACGAUUGUAUGUAAUUGAGAAUGCUGAGAUUAAAGAAUAAAUCUUAUGGGAAGCUCAUCAUAGCAACUUCAGCGUUGUCCAGACAGUAAAAAGAUGAGUCAAAAUCUACAUCAUUGGGAUUGGUAGAUCGGUAUGACGAUAGAUAUCGCCGAACAAGUUGUAAGUGUUGGAUGCGCCAGUAAGUGAGAAAUUGGUAAUGUAAGCUAGGAAAGCUUUUUCAAGUACUGGAGAGAGGUUUGUGUGAGAAUGAAAGUAUAACAUGAUGGAAUGUUAUGACAGGUUAUUAAGGAGUCAGGAAGAGCAUUGAUUCCUUAUGAGGUUGUAGUCGACAGGUGAUCAGAGUCAACUCACCUUAAUGCACGAAAAGAUCUCGAUUGGAAUAGGUAUACCGAAGUGUGUGUAUAUCAUAUAAAUCACCGGCAUGGAGUGCCGAGGAUAAAUUGUAUUUCAAAUCUAGAUCAGAUGUUCCAAGUUUGCAGAGCUUUCAGAUGGUUCCUUCUUAAGCAGUGCAUAGCAGAGAGUGCAGAAUUUCGAUUGCUGAGAUGAAAUCAGGGAAAGAAAGAUCACAAGCCAAGGUCAGAACAGUAGUCAGUGAUUGCAAUUGCCGAGAUCAGUGUCAGAAUUAUAUCAGAUCUUGACCAGAGGUUCUCAGUUUCAGCAAGUGAGUCAGAUAGUUUCUCUUUAAUCAGUGCAGAGCAAAGUGUACAGGAUUUCAGUCGGUUGAGAUGAGAUCAGAGAUUAGAAAAUCGCAGAUUUUGUGUUGAAUACCUUUGGAAUUUUAAGUGGGCAAGCAUUUACUAUUUUGGAACUCGAAGUGGUUUGGGCAAGAUAGUAGUGAUUUGGCAGUAUUGGUACUUAAGGUUACUGAAGGAGCAAUUAGAGAAACCGAAGAUUCAAUGAGACAAUUGUACCCCCACCUUUCUGUUUAAGAAUUGGCAAAUGUUUAAAUUUCGAGGACGAAAUUUUUAUAAGGGGGGAAGAGUUGUGACAUCCCGAUUUUUCCAAUCCUAUUUUCAACAAAUUGAGACGGGCAUUUCGUUGGCACGCAUAUAGUUCUUUUCCUUGAGUCGGCCACUCAUGUGAAAACUAGUAUAUCGGGUGAAACUGUUAAGAAUUUCUAAUGCAUUAGACUCGAGAAUUUGACCAGGAAGCGACCUUUCGACCGAGCUAGUCUGCAAGGGUCAUUACGGCACAAUUAAAAUCGAUUAGAGAUCGGGGAUAGGUCGACUCGACAGAGGCAUGUGAUCAGGUGUGGGUGAUUCCACCAGAUCGCACAAUUCUUGUCGAUCGGCACUUGACCGACUUUUCUAUCGAUUGGGUACCCUGUGUUCGUAUUUGAAACCUUGAGAUUACCCCGACAACCGAAAGUCGCCAAUGUUUCAAAGAUGUACAUUGUGGCUUGAGAUGAUCAACCACAGGUCAAAUGCAUGAAAAUUUCUAAAUGCUACCCGGUAGGUUGGGCCGCGCUAGUAUCGUGCCAAAGUGAAAUUAAUCGUGGGAUUGAGAUCAAAUUCAGAAAUUGGAAGUCUGGGUGUGUCACAAAUCGUUUUAGGAUCAUUAAUUCAUCUUCGGAAGAUUUUUCAUGCAAGCCGAGUUUUUCGGCAAAUUAAUCAAGGUAUGGCUAAUUUGGCUCGAGAAAUUAGUAGGCCCGCUUUUGGUCGUACUUUUGGGAAUUAAGUUGGUUCUACGGAUCAGUGAAGAUGUUAAUUAAGGUGUGGUGACAUUUGAUUAAUUUUAUGGACUUCAAUUGGAUUCAAUUGGAAGAGAAUUGAUGGGAAUUGAAGAAAUUGGAUGUACAAUAAUUGGACCCCGGCGGAAAAAUGAAAGUGCAACCAUUGGAGAAGUUGUGGAGGAUUUGGGUGAGUGGAUUGUGAGGUCAUCCUAGGUCAUGGUGGGCCACCUUGAUUGGAUGAAGGAAAAAGAGAAAAAGAAAAGGGAAAAGAAAAAGAAAUGGCCCCCCUUCUUCUCUCUCCUCCCUCUCUUCUCCCUUCUCUCCCGUGCGACUCCUCCAUCUUCUUCUUCUUGCUGCUCGACGGAACCGAGCAGACCAGCGGAGCCGAAGAAGUCGCACGCCUCCGCCGUUCGCCGUCGCCGCCCGUCCGCACCCUAGCUGCUCCGCCCCUCCACCCGCUCGCCGUCGCUUAGCCGCGCCACCGUCGCCCUCUCUUCUCCAUCUCCAGUUGCUGCUCGUGUCCCAGCAGAUCUGGGAAGACGCCGGAGCAGCCAGCAGUCUAGUCGGACCGCCGUCGCGCCCCGCUUGCCGCCGUCCGCCUCUCGCGACACCCCGCCGUCCUCGCGCAGGAAGCCUGCUCGUCCCUGCUGUUCCGCGAGUCCAGCAGUCAUUCCAGAUCUGGGGAAGCUCAGCCGGAGCCGCCCAGCUCACCUCCGGCCACCGUGAAGCCCCGCCUAGGUCCGGUUCAGCUCCUCCGCCCAUUCCCGACCCCAACCAGCCCCGGAUCUGCUCAUUUUCGGCCCCAACCAGCAGCGAGCAGAGAGUUGGAAAAUGGGUAUGCAGCGGACGUUUGGCCCGUUUUGGCCGCCUUCCCGAGCCCGGAUGCUCGGCCCGCCUUGAGGAAAGUUGUUCUCCUCGGCGUCCCCGUCGUUUUGGUCCGCUCGGCUCGCUAAUCCAGUGAGUUUAGCUCACUAAACCUCGGUUAGAGGGUUAAUUAUGCUUUAGGUGUGCUUAGCUUAAGUUGAUUAAGCUUAGGUGGUUAAUUUAGUUGAUUUAAUUAUGAUUUAGAUUAAGUUGUUUGUUUAAUCUAAAGUAUGUUUAAUUAAAUGCUAAGAGAGUUUAUUUAAAGUUAAGUGGGUGUUUAUAUUAAUAUAAACAUUGAUGUGACAUAAAGGAAUUUACCUUUGGUUUAUUUAAAUAUCUCGAAAUUAUUUAAUAAUUUAAUAAUUUAUUAUUAUUCGAAAUUAUUAAAAUAUUAUUAUUUAAUUAUUUUCGGAAUAAAUUUAAUUAUUUAUUAAAUUCCGAAAAUUUUGGUCGGGACCCUAAAUUCUCAGAAUUUCGUGUCGGUCGCUACGUUACAUUCGGAUUUUGAAAUUGAUGAUUGGAUAUUAUAAAUUGAGUGUGGAUUUCGAAAACUAUGGAUAUUAUUAUUUAAUUAUUUUCGGAAUAAAUUUAAUUAUUUAUUAAAUUCCGAAAAUCUUCAUUGGGACCUUAUUUGCUCAGAAUUUCGUGCCGAUCGUUGCUGUGCAUUUAGAAUUUGAAAUUGAUGAUUGGUUGUGAUGAAUUGAGUGUGAUUGUGAUUUAUAGAGAUUCUUUACGAAAUCCUAAGCGUAGAAAUUGAUGGGAGAUUGGCUGUGAAAUACCACCUAUUAGAGGUCGUGCCCAGAGAGGCCGUGAUAAACCACCUUGGAAAGGUCGUGCCCGAUGAGGCCGUGAAAAACCACCUACAAGAGGUCGUGCCCGAUGAGGCCGUGAAAUACCACCUAUUAGAGGUCGUGCCCAGAGAGGCCGUGAUAAACCACCUAUGAAAGGUCGUGCCCAGAGAGGCCGUGAUAAACCACCUAUGAAAGGUCGUGCCCAGAGAGGCCGUGAUAAACCACCUAUGAGAGGUCGUGCCCAGAGAGGCCGUGAUAAACCACCUUGGAAAGGUCGUGCCCGAUGAGGCCGUGAAAAACCACCUACAAGAGGUCGUGCCCGAUGAGGCCGUGAAUUACCACCUGAUUACAGGUCGUGCCGAGUGGGGCCGUGAUGCCACUGAUUUAAAUUUGCCGAGUAGGGCCGUAGUUGAGAGCAAUGAUUGAUUUGCUAGAAUGACAUGUAAUCGGCCGAGUCGAUUGAUCGCUGAGACGAUCCAAGUGGUUGAAUGGUUUGUUAAUGUGAUUGUGCCAUGGUUGUUUGGUUAUCAUAAUUGUACGUGAUUGGAUUAUAUAAAUUGUGCUAACCUGCAGAUGAAGGCUGAGGCGAGGUAAGUCUUCUGUGUGAUGUGGCUAGGCCACCCGGGGCGUAUUUUCUUUCUAAUAGGGGUUUAGGGGGUUGAACUUGCUGAGACAUCGUCUCAUCCCGGUUGUGGGAUUAAAAUUUCAGGUCCCUGGUGGACGGAGCGGCCAGAUAGCUUUGAUUGGCCUUGAGGAGUUGCAGAGGUGAAGUCAUAAGGGUUGGAGAGCGUGUCCUGCUAGUUGGUUGUAGGAUAGUCCCCCUUUUGUCGAGCUGGUUUAUUUUGUAGAAAG
This 9457-nucleotide long non-coding RNA is filed under the name Eucalyptus grandis. RNAcentral's name for it is "long non-coding RNA (EGRA_LNC007063)". The record is from RNAcentral. Lineage: Eukaryota; Viridiplantae; Streptophyta; Magnoliopsida; Myrtales; Myrtaceae.